This 229-nucleotide long non-coding RNA is filed under the name Elaeis guineensis (African oil palm). RNAcentral's name for it is "long non-coding RNA (EGUI_LNC047108)". The record is from RNAcentral. Lineage: Eukaryota; Viridiplantae; Streptophyta; Magnoliopsida; Arecales; Arecaceae.
AUUCAAAUCCUCCGAAAGGAGGAAGCUAGAAGGUUGGCACAUAUUAGCUUGCCCAAUCUCCGAAGUCCCUAGACCUAUUAUCUCACAUUCAUCUCUCAUAUUUACUACUAUAGACUAUACUGCUGCCAAAAUCUGAGCUGAAGGCGGUGAGGUCAGAUGAGCACCAUGCUGGUGAAGUUGGGUGUGAUCCAAGUUGAAGAGAUGAACUAGAGAAUGAGUGUGGUGGCCG